CGACGAGCGGCUGGCUAGAGCUCCCGGUUGUGAUCCGGGAGGUCGUGGGUUCGAAGCCCGUCUCGCAG
This 68-nucleotide transfer RNA is filed under the name Actinomycetota bacterium. RNAcentral's name for it is "tRNA-His". The record is from RNAcentral. Lineage: Bacteria; Bacillati; Actinomycetota.